This 91-nucleotide microRNA precursor is filed under the name Canis lupus familiaris (dog). RNAcentral describes it as "mir-8799 microRNA precursor family". It matches the Rfam family "mir-8799 microRNA precursor family". The record is from Rfam by way of RNAcentral. Lineage: Eukaryota; Metazoa; Chordata; Mammalia; Carnivora; Canidae.
GGGGGGAGGCCAGAUCCUGGGCUGUGUCCCGGCGCCCUGUACCCCGGGGCCUGCGCUGUUGGAUUCGCGCUCCCGGGCCGCGCAACCCCCU